Molecule: transfer RNA, 73 nt
Filed under: Planctomycetaceae bacterium
Lineage: Bacteria; Pseudomonadati; Planctomycetota; Planctomycetia; Planctomycetales; Planctomycetaceae
Also listed under: 1 other name
Description: tRNA-Lys
Rfam family: tRNA
About the family: Transfer RNA (tRNA) molecules are approximately 80 nucleotides in length. Their secondary structure includes four short double-helical elements and three loops (D, anti-codon, and T loops). Further hydrogen bonds mediate the characteristic L-shaped molecular structure. tRNAs have two regions of fundamental functional importance: the anti-codon, which is responsible for specific mRNA codon recognition, and the 3' end, to which the tRNAs corresponding amino acid is attached (by aminoacyl-tRNA synthetases). tRNAs cope with the degeneracy of the genetic code in two manners: having more than one tRNA (with a specific anti-codon) for a particular amino acid; and 'wobble' base-pairing, i.e. permitting non-standard base-pairing at the 3rd anti-codon position.
Source: RNAcentral
GGGAACGUAGCUCAGUCGGUAGAGCAACUGACUUUUAAUCCGUAGGUCAUGGGUUCAAGUCCCAUCGUUCCCA